Molecule: long non-coding RNA, 324 nt
Organism: Triticum dicoccoides
Lineage: Eukaryota; Viridiplantae; Streptophyta; Magnoliopsida; Poales; Poaceae
Exons: 3
Source: RefSeq, a predicted model, not a curated record
AUGCAUAGGUGUAAUAUUUGUUGAUAUUGCAAUUUUGAAGGAUCUGCUUUUCUUGUAUAGAUCUAUUUUUUUUAAUCUUGAAGGCAGUACGAGAGGCCCUAAUGACAUAUAUACAGUACUAACAAGAAUAUGGGGGCUUUCAUAACUUGAGGUAUUUACCUAGAUCCUUGAGAUGCUAUUCGUAUUGGCCUGAAUGCAGUUGAAUUCUGAAUCAUAAACAAGCUGGGAGAUUUGUCUUCCACAUAGUAGUUUUUAGUGCAUGCUCGGAGAACAAGAUAAGAGGAGAGGCUUGAAUCUUGAGAUGACAAGGGUAGUCACCUGCUG